RNAcentral lists this ribosomal RNA (448 nucleotides) under uncultured bacterium. RNAcentral's name for it is "partial 16S ribosomal RNA". It matches the Rfam family "Bacterial small subunit ribosomal RNA", at positions 329 to 793 of the family's 1533-position model. The record is from RNAcentral.
GCCCAGACUCCUACGGGAGGCAGCAGUGGGGAAUAUUGCACAAUGGGGGAAACCCUGAUGCAGCGACGCCGCGUGAGCGAUGAAGUAUUUCGGUAUGUAAAGCUCUAUCAGCAGGGAAGAAAAUGACGGUACCUGACUAAGAAGCCCCGGCUAACUACGUGCCAGCAGCCGCGGUAAUACGUAGGGGGCAAGCGUUAUCCGGAUUUACUGGGUGUAAAGGGAGCGUAGACGGCUGUGCAAGCCAGAUGUGAAAGCCCGGGGCUCAACCCCGGGACUGCAUUUGGAACUGUGUGGCUGGAGUGUCGGAGAGGCAGGCGGAAUUCCUAGUGUAGCGGUGAAAUGCGUAGAUAUUAGGAGGAACACCAGUGGCGAAGGCGGCCUGCUGGACGAUGACUGACGUUGAGGCUCGAAAGCGUGGGGAGCAAACAGGAUUAGAUACCCCCGUACG